CACUCCUACGGGAGGCAGCAGUGGGGAAUUUUGGACAAUGGGCGAAAGCCUGAUCCAGCCAUGCCGCGUGCAGGAUGAAGGCCUUCGGGUUGUAAACUGCUUUUGUACGGAACGAAACGGCCUUUUCUAAUAAAGAGGGCUAAUGACGGUACCGUAAGAAUAAGCACCGGCUAACUACGUGCCAGCAGCCGCGGUAAUACGUAGGGUGCAAGCGUUAAUCGGAAUUACUGGGCGUAAAGCGUGCGCAGGCGGUUAUGUAAGACAGUUGUGAAAUCCCCGGGCUCAACCUGGGAACUGCAUCUGUGACUGCAUAGCUAGAGUACGGUAGAGGGGGAUGGAAUUCCGCGUGUAGCAGUGAAAUGCGUAGAUAUGCGGAGGAACACCGAUGGCGAAGGCAAUCCCCUGGACCUGUACUGACGCUCAUGCACGAAAGCGUGGGGAGCAAACAGGAUUAGAUACCCUGGUAGUCCCA
RNAcentral lists this ribosomal RNA (472 nucleotides) under uncultured organism. RNAcentral describes it as "partial 16S ribosomal RNA". It matches the Rfam family "Bacterial small subunit ribosomal RNA", at positions 334 to 797 of the family's 1533-position model. The record is from RNAcentral.